This 507-nucleotide ribosomal RNA is filed under the name Pseudo-nitzschia fraudulenta. RNAcentral describes it as "partial Bacterial large subunit ribosomal RNA". It matches the Rfam family "Bacterial large subunit ribosomal RNA", at positions 1225 to 1844 of the family's 2925-position model. The record is from RNAcentral. Lineage: Eukaryota; Bacillariophyta; Bacillariophyceae; Bacillariales; Bacillariaceae.
GGGGAAUUGGAGACGCGAGGCUUUCUGUGAAGCCGGCCUGUGAGGGAUCCGGUGGAGAGAUCACUAGUGAGAAUGAUGACAUGAGUAGCGACAAAGAGUGUGAGAGACACUCUCGCCGAAAGUCCAAGGGUUCCUGCUUAAAGCUAAUCUGAGCAGGGUAAGCCGACCCCUAAGGCGAGGCCGAAAGGCGUAGUCGAUGGGAACCAGGUUAAUAUUCCUGGGCCAGGAGGAUGUGACGGAUCUCGAAGGUUGUUCCCUCUUAUCGGAUUGAGGGGGCUGCUUAGAGGUUCCUGGAAAUAGCCCUCCAUGAGAUCGUACCCUAAACCGACACAGGUGGACUGGUAGAGAAUACCAAGGCGCUUGAGAGAACGAUGUUGAAGGAACUCGGCAAAAUACCUCCGUAAGUUCGCGAGAAGGAGGCCCGGUACAAGAGUGCCGGGGGCACAAACCAGGGGGUGGCGACUGUUUAUUAAAAACACAGGGCUCUGCGAAGUCGCAAGACGACGU